Molecule: long non-coding RNA, 1324 nt
Filed under: Gossypium barbadense (sea-island cotton)
Lineage: Eukaryota; Viridiplantae; Streptophyta; Magnoliopsida; Malvales; Malvaceae
Description: long non-coding RNA (GBAR_LNC014365)
Source: RNAcentral
AGCCAUUGAACCUUGGCAUAAAGUCCACACGGUGCCAUUUUGCUUUAAAAAUAAAACCAAAAAAACUUUCCUUCAAAAACGUUUCUGCUUCAUUUUUUCCUUUUUCUUUUAAAAAACAAAACAGAGGGGAAAGGGGGAAAUUUUCUCUGCUAGGGAUUCAACCCUAGCGCCCCCACGCCGCCGCCGUCAAAGCUCCGCCGCCGACCCUGAUUCAGGCAGCAAACUUCGCAGGUAAGUAACUCCUCCUCUCUUUUUUGUUAUUUUGUUUAUUUUAAAAAGAAAAUGACCCUGAAAAUAAGAAACAAGAACACAAUAAAAAGAGAACGAAAAGACAAUCACCUUCCAAGUCAAUUGUUGUAUUCUUAUUUUUCUUUUUUGUAUAUUGUUUUACACUGAUUUUUUCCACUAUUUCUUGUUUCAAUCUAAAACAAAAUCCUAUUAGCUCCUUUUUCUUGUUUUUUUCGUCAUCCCCCCCGCCUCAACUAUUGUUGCGCCAUACCCUAUUUAUUUGCUAUUUCAAUCUGUUUUUUACAGGUGCCGAGGUCGUGGAAGGGGCGUGCGACGUGUGCAAAAGCUGCUGAACGUGGGGCGAUUGCUACGGCACUGAAGAAGAAAAAAAACCGCUGCUAGAGUUUCUGUUACCUUAGGCCAAUUGGGCCUGGUAAUUAGGUUAGAAUUUGGGCCUUAUUGGGCCGAAUUAUUUGGGCUGCAUAAAUGAUUUUUUAAACAGGCUAAAAUUGGCCUAUUACACUCAUUAAUUUCUUCCAAAAUGUUAGGACAUGCGCGGCUUUGGAAUAUGCUUUAUCAACCAGAAGCCUAGGGCAGUGCACUAAAGCUGUAUAUUCCUCUAUUGUAGGCACAAAAUCUAUAUUCCCAAAAGUAAAAAAGCUAUAUGCAGGAUUCCAAUAUUGAGCAAGAGCGCGAAACAGUCGUUCAUCCACCUUGAUAUUAAGUAGAUGUGGCAAGUCCCCAUAAUUAGAGUAGAACAAUUGCUUGGUUUCAUCAUCCCACCGAUCCCAAAUCUCACUCAACUCUUGAAGGCUAUUUUGCGUCACACUAAUACGAGUGUAGUCCCAAAGCUCUGACACAUAAUUCUUAGCUAGACUGUCUCCCUUUUCCAAUUGCACUUUCUCUGACCAUAUACGGACAAUGGCAUUGUCUUCCACUUUAUCAAGAAAAUCGUUUGCCAUGAUAAUUUUCUAAUUUGGUAACUGAACUCAAAUCGACACUCCUUGAAAUAUGUAAUGACAUGCAACAUAUCAACAAAACGAAAACAAGUCAGUAUAACACCACAACAAUUCAAAGCAAGUAUAAGAAAACCAAG